RNAcentral lists this long non-coding RNA (2210 nucleotides) under Nicotiana benthamiana. Its description in RNAcentral is "long non-coding RNA (NBEN_LNC031917)". The record is from RNAcentral. Lineage: Eukaryota; Viridiplantae; Streptophyta; Magnoliopsida; Solanales; Solanaceae.
UCCACCAUGACACUCUGGGCGCUGUACACUUCCUUUACAUCAUUCACAUACCCCUUCAAACAUUAACCCUGUGAAAACGAGACGAGAGUCAAUCUCUCAUCUUAGCGGGGAACCAGAACUUUUAUUAAUGUGUGUUAAAAUAUAAAAAAGUAAAAACACACACACACACACACAUAUAUAUAUAUAUAUAUAUAAUAUAAUUUUUCUGGUAAAAGAAUAUCAAUUAACAUAUCCUUUAGACAAUGGUGGCUCCGCCACUGCUUCCCCCCUCUCUCAACUCGGAUACUUAAACAUAGUUUGACGUGAUAUUUCAUUUCUAUUAUUUCAUGCUUCAUUAAUAUUUUUUAUUCAAAAAUCAUCCAAACAAUUAAAUUUCACCUGAAAAAAACGUUUAACAUUUUUAAUAACUGGAUUUUCUCUCUAUUUUUAUUGGAUAUAGAAGAGUUGAUGAUAAAAAUAUAUUUUCCUUGUCGUUUGUUUACUUUGAAACUUAUUAUAUGAUGAAUCUUUUUGUAUAUAUGAAUAUUAUUAAAAAUAGAACUCAGAUAAUAAUACUGGUGAAACUUUUGUUUUUCUUCUUCCUUUAAAUUUGAUAAUAGUAUCAAUUUUAAUAAGUGAUAAUUUUACUUAUAACAUAUUCAAAAAAAAUUCAAACUCGUAAAGAAAAAAGACGUGUUCAUAAAAUUAACCUUAAUUAAUAGUUACCUUGACACAUUGGAAUAUGUAAGUAAGGGUAAAUUUUAGAAAAAUAAAAUUAAUUCCUUCUUGAUUAUGUAAACGGACACUUAAAAUAGUCAUUUAUUGUGGACGAAAAAAAUACUAAGUAUGAGAAUUUUUUGAAAAAAUUAUCCCUUAUAUUUAAGGGUAAAUUUAACUUUAUCCUUCAAAUAUAAUCUUGAACACCAAUUGUCCUCUAAGUUUGCAAAAGUUGAACGCUUUUAGUCCCAGUAACAAAUAACAUGACAUUCGCAACUCUAUGUUCACCGGCUAUCUAGGUUGUUUGAAUUCGGUGGAAGUAAUAAUUUUCUCCGGUAGAAAAGCUGGCAAUCGACUGAUUUUGGGGGUGAAAGAGAGCUGGAUUUGAAUAAAACAAUAUUUCAUGUGUAGGUGAGGUAUAGCUCUGUUAGUUUUCUAACGAAUGUCAUGUUAUUUGUUACUUGGACUAAAAGCGCUUAACUUAUGCUAACUUAGAGGACAAUUCACGCUCAAUGUUAUAUUUGAAGGACAUAUAGCAAUAACAAACGCGUUUAGAAGUGAAACAAUUACUAUGAACAUAUUAUUUGAUUAAUAUCUUCAUAAAUUUUUACGACAGAGAGAGGGGGAGAGUCCAUUCUUAUUUUAUUUUCUCUUAUUAAUUAUUAGUGUUCAUUCAAUUCUGAGGCUAGCUAACUUGGUUUAAAAACACCAUUCUUACCAAGGAGAAAUUACGUAUUAGUACAAGAAAAGAAAAGGAAAAAAAAACAAUAUGUAGUGAUAGACUUAUCAACUUAAACAAUUUUUUGCAGUACAAAAUUAUUAAUGCUAACAAACACCACAUAUUCCUUUCUCGCAAAAUCUACAUAAGCAUAAUCACCCAGCUAGUAUAGGCUAAAACCCUAAAAUAACCUAACUGAAAAAAAUUUAAAAGUUAUGGAAUUAUAAAAAAAUUACAUGUGUAAAUUAAACUAAGCUAUCUAUACCAUAAUUUAUACAAAGUUGAAAUUGGUGAAUACAAAUAAUGAAUCACCAAUAUAAUACAGAGGAAAACUCUACAACCAAAAGACAAAUUAAUGAAUGAAAACUAAAUCACUAUACCUUUAACGGAUAACAAGAGGAACUCUAAAUGUGCAUGCAGAAUUUAAGCCUUUUUUUUCUUGUUGUGUAGAGGAUUUGGUCCAGUGGGAACUCUUCUCUUAUCAGAUUCUAAGUCUCGAGCAAACGGAGCACUCGCCUGAGGUUGAAAAAAUUGAUGUUUUCUCGCCGUCGACGGACCGGAAAAUCGUGACGGCGGUGUCCGGCCGAAGGCGUGAAGUAAUACAAUUUGAGAAGUGAAGAGGAGAAAGAAGAAGAAAAAGAAAUGAAAGAGACUGUUCAUGUUUGAAGAAUGUUGUUAUGUUAAAGUGCUAGAAAAGGUUGAAAAUGGUAGCUAGCAUUUUGUGGAUUAUAUAUAUGGACAUGGUUGGUCCAGGCUUCCUGUUAUAAAAUUAAUGAUUAAAUCACAUGAAAUUCCG